GAUGAAGAACGUAGCGAAAUGCGAUACGUAAUGCGAAUUGCAGAAUUCAGUGAAUCAUCAAAUCUUUGAACGCAAAUGGCACUGUCGGGUAACCGGCAGUACGUUUCUUUCAGCGUCGUUUCAACAACACUCAGGCUGCGCCUUUUUAAGGCAAAAGCUUGGAUAUUGAGUGUCACAAUUCGAAAGGACUGUGUCACUUUAAAACUAGCGGAAAGACAUGUGCUUUAGCACACUGCACCAAUUACUUGGCAGUGACGUGGAUAAUUUCACUUAUGUGAAUCUUUACGUGACUGUUUUCAAAGAACAGUGUAUGUGCGGCUUGUCGCAACAGUUGGUUCCGAUAUUGAGGACUUCAAGUCUUCAACUAACACUUCGACUAAGACCUGAAAUGAAGCGAGAAUACCCGCCGAACUUAAGCAUAUCAAUAAGCGGAGGA
Molecule: unclassified non-coding RNA, 436 nt
Filed under: soil metagenome
Description: partial contains 5.8S ribosomal RNA, internal transcribed spacer 2, and large subunit ribosomal RNA
Rfam family: 5.8S ribosomal RNA (bases 1-118)
Source: RNAcentral